GUGAGUCAUCGAAUCUUUGAACGCACAUUGCGCCCGCCAGUACUCUGGCGGGCAUGCCUGUUCGAGCGUCAUUUCAACCCUCAAGCCCCCGGCUUGGUGUUGGGGCCCUGCGGCUGCCGCAGGCCCCGAAAUGGAGUGGCGGGCUCGCGGCGAACUCCGAGCGUAGUAGAAUCCUAUCUCGCUAGGGAGGCGCGGCGCGCUCCGGCCGUUAAAGGAACUUCUUUUAACCCAAGGUUGACCUCGGAUCAGGUAGGAAUACCCGCUGAACUUAAGCAUAUCAAUAAGCGGAGGA
Molecule: unclassified non-coding RNA, 292 nt
Filed under: Coniochaetales sp.
Lineage: Eukaryota; Fungi; Ascomycota; Sordariomycetes; Coniochaetales
Description: partial contains 5.8S ribosomal RNA, internal transcribed spacer 2, and large subunit ribosomal RNA
Rfam family: 5.8S ribosomal RNA (bases 1-71)
Source: RNAcentral